UCGUUUUUGCCCCGACCCUGGCUUCAAAGAGCAUUAUUUACUGAGUUCUCUCCCAUAAAUACCCCAGAUGGUGGAGAAAGAAUUUCAUAAGCAGAGGUAUAUAUGCUAACAGAUUAGGAAGUCUGAAAUGUCGAUUUCAAAGCCACCAUGCUCUGAAUUCCCAGAAUGGACAUGAUAUCUUCAGAGAAGAAAGAAGCAUUGCUGGCU
Molecule: long non-coding RNA, 207 nt
Organism: Calidris pugnax (ruff)
Lineage: Eukaryota; Metazoa; Chordata; Aves; Charadriiformes; Scolopacidae
Exons: 3
Source: RefSeq, a predicted model, not a curated record